AAACUGUAAAAUUUUCUGCCUGCAACAAUUAAGAUAAGAAAUAUUCAGAGUUCACACUUCUCAGCUAAAAUGGCAGUGUCCCCUGUAGCUGGUCUCAACUCCAAGCUUUCACUUCCUUCAGGGAAGCAGCAACACUCCAAAUUCACUGGCCAAUCAGUGAGAGCAAUACCUAUACGCAUAUUAACUGUGGGGAAGAAUAGGUCACAUGGAGUGCAGUUAAUAGUUGAUGAGUAUAUGAAGAAGCUCAGGAAUUAUUGUAGUGUUGAUGAUGUUCGAAUAAAGUCUAAUCCCAAAAAUGCACGUGAUGUAGUGGCUCAAAUUGAACAUGAGGACAUUGCUGUUAUGGGCCUCAUCAGGCCUGAUGAAUGGGUUGUAAUGUUGGAUGAGCGUGGUCAUGAUGUGGGAUCCGAGCAGAUGGCUUCUUUAAUCGGAGACGCUGGAAACAAGGGAGCAUCAAGCUUACUCUUUUGCAUUGGUGGACCUUAUGGACAUGGUAGACAAUUGCGAGAGAGAGCUAACGUAUCAGUUAAAUUGUCAUCCUUAGUCUUGAAUCAUGAGAUUGCCUUAGUUGUACUGAUAGAACAACUUUACAGGUCAGAGACUGGAACAAACUAUUAUUCUUUUGAAGUGCUGGUGCUGCUAACCGCUCCCCCAGUCCCUCAUUUAUGCUGAGGGUGGACCAUUCUUAAAGGACAGAAAUACCAUCACUAGACAUUGAUGUCUUAACCAUGAUAAACCAAUACAGGUACAGGAUUUCUAUUUCUUGGAAUUGGAAGAAGGAAUUGAAAUGACUUCCAAAUUUCAUUCAACCACCAUCAGAGCAACUAAACUCAGGUUUGGACUGCCUUUUGAGGAUGACCUUGGCCCCCAUUAUAGAUAUUCGACGUGCCUAAAGAGAAGAAGGUGGUUGAGAAGUGAGCAGAACCUCAUUCUUAGAUCCUAAAAGUCUGUCAAGGUCUUGACACGUCGAAUACUUGAUAUUUUGCUUGGUUUACUACACGGUUUGUGAAACCAGAUAGUACUUCUAUCGCGAUGGUGUGUGUCAUGUCACACCUCUCGAUGUGCCUGUCCAGAUCUAACGUUGCGAUGUUGACAAGCCUGGCCUAGACAUUUUAGCCACCACAAUGAUCUAAUUCAUUAUGCCAUCUUCACUAUUUCUAACGAAUGGAGUAAAGGUUUUGUGUAUUUAUAUCCUUUUUGAGUCUUUGGAUACCAAGUUAGACAAGUAUUGUUUCUUGUGAUAAGAUAUUAUUCAUUUGAAACAUUUGCCAAACCAAUACACAAAAGACACUUUUGUAGACCAAACUAUCUUUUUUAUCUUGUUAGAAAUUAAAAUGGAAUAUAGUAAUUUUCACUUGAUAUA
RNA transcript from Solanum stenotomum, 1363 nucleotides. It is a transcript of the gene named putative RNA methyltransferase At5g10620, with no coding region annotated. The record is from RefSeq and is a predicted model, not a curated record. The transcript has 8 exons. NCBI's taxonomy places the organism in Eukaryota, Viridiplantae, Streptophyta, Magnoliopsida, Solanales, Solanaceae.